CUCCACCACCUCCUCGUUGCGUGCGUUUUCUCGCGCAUCAUUUGGCAUGACAUCUUGUCCUGGUGCUGCUUGCCCGCAAUGCCGCCCGAUGGCAACACCGACUUCUUCGAAUGGUGGACGGCGACAAAAACUAAUGUGCCGGCAAGCGUCCGCAAGGCUCUCAACUCCCUAACCAUCCUCACUUCAUGGGCCAUAUGGAAGUACCGCAACGCAAUCCUCUUCGACAAUCCAACACCCUCCCUAGGCAACCUUCUAGACGACAUCAAACAGGAGGCGAAACUAUGGGCAAGAGCCGGCACCAAAGGGCUCGACAUGAUCAUUCUUGUAACAUAA
This 333-nucleotide ribosomal RNA is filed under the name Triticum aestivum (bread wheat). RNAcentral's name for it is "partial small subunit ribosomal RNA". The record is from RNAcentral. Lineage: Eukaryota; Viridiplantae; Streptophyta; Magnoliopsida; Poales; Poaceae.